GCAGCGGUGGCCUCGAUUAUUGGGCCUAAAGGGGCCGUAGCCGGACCGAUGUGGCCCCUGUGAAAUCCACGGGCUCAACCCGUGGGCGCGCGGGGGCUACUAUCGGUCUAGGGGACGGGAGAAGCUGGGGGUAUUCCGGGGGGAGCGGUGAAAUGCUGUAAUCCCCGGAGGACCACCCGAGGCGAAGGCGCCCAGCUAUCCCGCUCCCGACGGUGAGGGCCGAAAGCUGGGGGAUCAAAUGGGAUUAGAGACCCCAGUAGUCCCAGCUGUCAACGCUGCGGGCUAUCUGCCGGAAGGGCUUAGAGCCCUUUCGGUGGAGUAGGGAAGCCGUUAAGCCCGCCGCCUGGGGAGUACGGCCGCAAGGCUGAAACUUAAAGGAAUAGGCGGGGGGGCAUACAAGGGGUGGGGUGUGCGGUUUAAUGGGAACUGACACCGGAAACCUUACCGGGGGCGACAGCAGGAUGAAGGUCAGGCUGAAGACCUUACCUGACACGCUGAGAGGAGGUGCAUGGCCGCCGUCAGCUCGUGCCGUGAGGUGUCCUGUUAAGUCAGGAAACGAGCGCGACCCGCGCCCGCAGUUGCGACGGAAGAGAGUUUUCUCUUCCGGCACACUGCGGGGACUGCCGGGGAAACCCGGAGGAAGGCGCGGGCGACGGCAGGUCCGCAUGCCCCGAAUCCCCCGGGCUACACGCGCGCAAC
RNAcentral lists this ribosomal RNA (699 nucleotides) under uncultured Nanoarchaeota archaeon. RNAcentral describes it as "bacterial SSU rRNA". It matches the Rfam family "Archaeal small subunit ribosomal RNA", at positions 485 to 1184 of the family's 1478-position model. Lineage: Archaea; Nanobdellati; Nanobdellota. The record is from RNAcentral.